RNAcentral lists this ribosomal RNA (373 nucleotides) under uncultured bacterium. RNAcentral's name for it is "bacterial SSU rRNA". It matches the Rfam family "Bacterial small subunit ribosomal RNA", at positions 527 to 898 of the family's 1533-position model. The record is from RNAcentral.
GUAGGGGGCAAGCGUUGUCCGGAAUCAUUGGGCGUAAAGCGCGCGUAGGCGGCCCGGUAAGUCCGCUGUAAAAGUCAAAGGCUCAACCUUUGAAUGUCAGUAGAUACUGCCGGGCUAGAGUCCGGAAGAGGCGAGUGGAAUUCCUGGUGUAGCGGUGGAAUGCGCAGAUAUCAGGAGGAACACCAACGGCGAAGGCAGCUCGCUGGGACGGUACCGACGCUGAGGCGCGAAAGCGUGGGGAGCGAACAGGAUUAGAUACCCUGGUAGUCCACGCCGUAAACGAUGGGCACUAGGUGUGGGAGGUGUCGACUCCUCCCGUGCCGGCGCUAACGCAUUAAGUGCCCCGCCUGGGGAGUACGGCCGCAAGGCUAAA